CGCAAAUCAUGACGACAUCGACGUCCUUGUUCGUACACUGGAACCUUGCCUUGGCAUUCGCAAAUCCUUAAUUAUAAAAUCCCCAAUUUCAGAGAAUCUGUUUUUUUUAUAUAGGAGGUAGAGGAGAGGAAGAAUUUGGUGAGGCAGAUGUGGAAUGUGUACACACAUAGUCGUCAUAUCCAGUUGCCGGUGUUCUGGCAGAAGGCUUUUGCGGCGAGCUACGACCAAAUGGUGAGCGAAGAUCUGGAGAUGUCAGAUGCUGCCGUCUUGGAGAUUGCCAAGAUGUCUAUGAGGGUCGUUGAACUGAAACCGCCUACAACAGAAGAAGACGAGGUACGAUUUUUUAUUUUAUUUGUUAGUGCUGAAAAUCGAAAUCUCGAUGGUAUCAGACUAUCAGUAUCAACCAGUGAUUAUUGAAUGAUUAAUUAAUUAGGGUUCUGGAGACGAUAAUGAUGGAUCAAAUGAAGAUGGCAACGACAACAAGAAACCAAAAUCAGAUAUUCAGAAGGUAUGAUUUUUUUUUAAUUUGAUAUGAUACGAAAAAAGAAGAAGAUGAUGACGAAGAAAGUGAUCGUAAAGUAAAAGUGUUGGCAAAAAACUGUGUUCAACAUUUGUUAAGAUUAAUGUAAGUUUUUUUCUAAAAUAAUGUGGCUUUUCCUCUAAAUCCUCUUGUAAAGCCAAGCCCAGCCCACUUGUAAAAGGUAAUUAAUAAAUGAACUGAAUUAUUCAUUUGGCCAUUUGAGGUCAGCUUCGGUUAAGAUCUAUUAAAAAAUUAAAUAUUGUGAGAUAUUUAGAUAUCAGUCUUCAAUUUCUUAUUAGAGGUACAAUCUGCUACAAUCUCAUCUAUAGAGGUAAUCAUUAGAUCAACAAUGAAUGGUGGGAUGACAUUUAUAUUUGGGAUCGACCUUAACUAUUCCAUUUGACUCUCCAUGAGAGUAUAGACAUUUUUAAUGCCAAUGACUUUUUAAUAUCCAUUUGGUAUGAUUUUUAAUAUCCAAAUUCCUUUUGAGAUCAGAGCCGGUUAUCACUCACACUCACUUCUAUGUUAAUUCGAUCAGAUAAGAUGUUUAAAGGCUAUUUAUAGUGCAUGAUUAGGGUCGAAGAGGGUUAGAUUCCAUCAUAAUCAAUAGAAUCACAACUCGCCCCGUUCUUACCCAUAUAUGGUUCAGAAUCUAAUGGUUUGUCGACGUUGUUUAAAUCCAUGAUGAAUUCACGGUCAAACCAGUGUGUUGAAUAAUAAUAUGGUUCAUAAACUUAUCGAUGUUGUGGUUCUGAAUUUCACUGAAGCAGACAACAUAGGUUUUGCUUCAGUGAAUGAUGUUCAUCAGGCUCCUUAAGACGAUGCAUCAGAAAAACCUUUUUUUUAUUUUUUUUAUUUUUUAUAGUGGUACGUGGUAUUGAAUGCAUUUAAGUAUGAAAAAUAAAAUAAAGCUAAAGGAAAUAAAGAUCAUUACCCCAUGCAAGACCAUCUCAUAACAUGACUCUUUGAUGCUCUUUGUUGGUUUAAUGAUUUCUUUUGUACCUUUCUUCCCGAAGGUCGAUGUCGGUAUUCCGACAGGCGUACUUUCAAGCAAGUUCCACUGGAGUGUUUAUGAGGAUGCCAACGACUGAAACAUUUCCGAUUGACUUAGGCUGAUCAUCCACCUAAAAUGCAAAUACACACUUGGAGGACUCAUCGCGAGUAGCUGCACUGAUACAAGACAUCGUCUAUUGACUCAUCAUUGUCACUGCAUAAUACAAACUUCACCGGUCCGAUUAUCCCCGACAACAAAAGAACCUGGCAAUGUGGUAAAGCAAUCUUGGAACGUUUCCGAUUGACUCGUGAUUGUUUGUAAGAAGGUUGUCAACGACUGAAAUGUUUUUGAUUAACUUAGGGUGAUCACUCUACCUAAAAUGUAGAUUCACACUUAGAGGACCCAUCGCGAGUAGCUGCACUGAUAGAAGACAUCGUCUAUUGACUCAUCACUGUCACUGCAUAAUACAUACUUCACCGGUUAGACUAUCCCCGACAACAAAAGAACCUGGCAGUGUGGUAGAGCAAUCUUGGAACGUUUUCGAUUGACUCAUAAUUGUUUGUAAGGAAGUUGCCAACGAUUGAAAUGUUUUGGAUUAACUUAGGGUGAUCACUCUACCUAAAAUGCAGAUACACUCUUGGAGGACCCAUUGCGAGUAGCUGCACUGAUAGAAGACAUCGUUUAUUGACUCAUCACUGUCACUGCAUAAUACACACUUCACCGGUCCGACUAUCCCCGACAACAAAAGAACCUAGCAGUGUGGUAGAGCAGUCUUGGAACGUUUUCGAUUGACUCAUAAUUGUUUGUAAGGAGAUUGCCAACGAUUGAAAUGUUUUCGAUUAACUUAGGGUGAUCACUCUACCUAAAAUGCAGAUACACUUUUGGAGAACCCUUUGCGAGUAGCUGCACUGAUAGAAAACGUCGUCUAUUGACUCAUCACUGUCACUGCAUAAUACACACUUCACCGGUUCGACUAUCCCCGACAACAAAAGAACCUGGCAAUGUGGUAAAGCAGUCUUGGAAUGUUUCCGAUUGACUCGUGAUUGUUGUUUGUAAGGAGAUUGUCAACGAUUGAAAUGUUUUCGAUUAACUUAGGGUGAUCAUUCUACCUAAAAUGCAGAUACACUUUUGAAGGACCCUUCGCGAGUAGCUGCACUGAUAGAAAACGUCGUCUAUUGACUCAUCACUGUCACUGCAUAAUACACACUUCACCGGUUCGACUAUCCCCGACAACAAAAGAACCUGACAAUGUGGUAAAACAGUCUUAAAAUGUUUCCGAUUGACUUAGAGUCAUCACUUCACCUAAAAUACAAAUACACUCUUAUACCCAUCCCCAACAACCUCACGAGUGGCAUAGUACACACAUCACGAGUCCGACUAUCCCCAACAACAUAACAACAUGGUAAUGUGGCUGAGAUAUGAUAGAAUCAAAUAAUCUUAUCUUAAAAUUUGUGUUCAAUAACCCUAGUUGACCUAUGCCUGAUAGAAGCUAGCUAGCUAUCACCGCAAUUUGACAAAGUAGGUAGGUGUCAUUGGGUGAAAUAGUUUUACUAUUCCCCCCAAAAUCUUCAUUGUUCUUCAGGCCUAACGCUAAUUAACGCUAUCAACUCAUUUCACUUCACAAGUUCACGUCAAUUUAAUAUAAAGAAUCUUCUACUCUCUCAAGGAAUCAGUCAAAAUAGAAAAAAUACAAUUAUUUUUUCCUACAUUUGUGAUCUGUGUGACUGUGUCUUCUUACUAGAAUUCAAAGAAUUUAUUAUAGCCAAGUCUUCUCAAAGAACCUAGCUGUCGGAAUAGGGGAUUAGAAGGCAUAUGCAUACCCAGAACUCACAUCCGAAGUUCAUAUUGGAAAAUGGAAAACACAAGAAUAUAAGGACCUUACAGAGAUCAUCCUCGUGGUGUAUAGUUGGUUGGACUGUUCUAGAAUUUGAGUAAAUAAAAUCAACUACCAGAUUUUAGAACCCAAAAUCUCACAGCUUUGCAUUGGUGCACAUGGUUGAUCUGCAUAAAGUAGAAUGAUAAAUUAAAAUUCAUCCCAAGCUAUAAAUAACAUCUUAAGCUUUGGUACUUACUGUAGCCUGUAGGUCCAGACUCCAGAAGUAAAGAAUCAAGCUUAAAAUCACCAAGCAUUCGAUGGACCACAGAACCUAAGAACCAAAAAAACCAAUAUAAGAAAGAUUCUGAAUUCCACCGUCCCAAGAAAACCUACAAGUCUAUAAAUUUAUCUACCCAUUGUCAAUUGCCAUCGCAUAUCUUUUCCAUAUCUACAAGCUUCACCAAUGGAGGUGCCCACAUAUCAAGUCUGAGGAGUGAGGGAAAUGGAAGUAAAAUUGUUCAAAAAGCGAGGGAAUGUGAGAAUGGGGGGAGGGUUUCUUAGAGGUUUACAGAUAUUUAUCAUGUCAUUAACCACAAGAAUCUCAAAGACAUACAUACUACACAUGCUUACGAAACGUUCUGAGCAGAACAGGGUUGUUGAAAUGACCUAUUUGCAGGACGGCCAUCAAAUCCCAUCCAUCCCCAUCAAUCUUUUUCACACUGCUCAUUUUUUU
RNAcentral lists this long non-coding RNA (4063 nucleotides) under Zostera marina. RNAcentral's name for it is "long non-coding RNA (ZMAR_LNC005794)". The record is from RNAcentral. Lineage: Eukaryota; Viridiplantae; Streptophyta; Magnoliopsida; Alismatales; Zosteraceae.